Molecule: transfer RNA, 72 nt
Filed under: Camelus bactrianus (Bactrian camel)
Lineage: Eukaryota; Metazoa; Chordata; Mammalia; Artiodactyla; Camelidae
Also listed under: 2 other names
Rfam family: tRNA
About the family: Transfer RNA (tRNA) molecules are approximately 80 nucleotides in length.
Source: Rfam by way of RNAcentral
GAGGGUAUAGCUCAGUGGUACAGCUCAUGCUUAGCAUGCAUGAGGUUCUGGGUUCAAUCCCCAGUACCCCUA